CACACACAACAGGAAUGAAGUAAUUUGAAUUUGAGGGAGCUGCAAAGUGUAAGCUUUCAGUCAUUACCUUACAGCCAAGUAAUAUGACUAUUAUUCAGAUGAGCAGAACGGUCUUUUGUGUGAGACAAUUUAUUAGCUAGUUUUGUGCAAUACACUGUGAAGGUCAGUUGUACAGUCAAGACUUUGAUUAAAGAAUAGACUCUGAUCUUCUCAUAUGUAGGCAUGAAAGGUUAUGGUCAUUAUAAUCAUUUUUCUUCUCCAUUCUGUCCAUAAACCCUCUGUUUGUCUUUUGACAAAUUUUGAUGGGUAUCUUUUUAAAUUACUUUAUCUUCUGGGAGUGGGAUUCCCUCUAGGGUUCUGUAGUCUUAAAACACCAACAUAUAAUACACAAAUGUAAGGACAAAAGACGCAUUUGAUUUAGUUUAAAACUGAGCUGAUUUGAGUUUUGAAGGGAGGGCUGAAGCUGAUUCUAAUGACUUCUUAAAUAAUGACUGUGUGAUUUUGGAAGAUUACAGUCACAAACUCAGCUGACUGUAUACCUACCUGUCUAGAAAUGACCUACCCAGGAACAUGUACAAAUAAAAUUAGACCCAACAAUAUAUCACGCUUUCAAAAGAGUGUCAUGAAGUUUGAGGCGUGAUCAUUUUCAAGGCGAAUUCCCAAAAGCUUCAAUACUGAUUGAUUCUGCAGAACCUUGGUAUUACUUUCAGUGGCCUUUUUUUGUGAGACAAUCCCGACAUUUCUUACUUUCUACAAAUUCUUCAUGUGGUAAUUGCUGCACACUUAUGGGCAAACUAUUGUUCAGGUCAGUUUAAGGGAAAAAGUCGAUUUAACCAGCUGGUUAGGUUUAGGUAAACUUCAUGGUCUGUGUGAUCUGUGACAGGACACAAACUUAACCUCACUUCAAUCUGUAGGAAAAUUGGGCUCCUGCAGUGAUAGAUUUUCAGAGAAAAUGAUGUACUGUGUCAUUAGUAGAGAGAACUAUUCUGAUCACCUUGUCGUACCACUCCACUCCUCUCUCAGAACUGUUCCGGAACAGAUCUAGGUCAGCUGUCCUGUGUGGAGUGUAGUGCAUAACCCAACAGACUUUUUCCGUCUUUCACUCUGAAGCAACGUGUUUUCCAAGUUACAAACUACAAGGGUGCUGUCAUCGAGGGUGCCGCCUGUGGCCCUGAGUGCCCUACAUGCUUAUUUUUGGCCCACUGUCUGUAUUUAAAUGGAUAAACCAAGGUCCUCUCAUACGUCAGGACAUCAAGGCAGAAACACACACGAGCACACACACACACACACACACACACAAACUGCAUCAUCUAGCAGCCGCAUAGAUUAGACUGUUUUAAUCAAGUUUGUUUGAUGAGAGCACAGCUUGACUGGGACAUGCAGCUGGCAGCAGACGACAGAAGAAUUGAAUUAGUCCCGCUGUGGACAAUACAGUAAACCUCAGUGGAGAUUUUUUGCUAAGAAUUUCACAAACAGGCUCGUCUAUGACUGUAUGAUCUUAUGGUUUAACACCCUGCUGAGCACUGACCAUAAUAACGUACAUCUGCAGUGUGAGGGUAUUGGAGUCCAGCUGCGGGUGCAAGUGACAAGCCUAUUCCCACCUCCUCUCUCAGACAGCGGGGAAGCCAGCAGGGUGCAUGCAGGAUCUGUACUCUGUCACAACAGCGUAUUCAGUAUUCUAUGACUCAAGCUUUUUGAACCUUUUCUGACCUUUCAUGUUUCAUUAAGAAGUCAUAGCAGCGUCCAGCUCGUCAAACUGAACAAAAUGUUCAAGCUCCCUGAAAGCUUCAACUGUGAUUUGUCAAAUGUCUUUUUCUUUUGAAACUUCACUUUCAAAAAGAAUAGAGCUUUGAAACAAUGACGCAGGGGGUAGCUGCAUUUAUAGGUUAAUGGUAUGCAAUCAAAGCUAGCAAAGUCUCUAUGAAUGUGUUUUGAUGUAUGAAAGGCCAAUUCUAUGAGCCUGAAAGCCAUCAACCCGACUGUGACAGAUUUAAAUAGCAUUAUUACCCCCGACAGAUAUUGAUGUAGGUUAACUCAGGACUCUAACUGUCUCUUAGGUAACAGGUAUAUCUCAUCCACUGAAGUCAGAUUAAGUCCACUCAGUUUGGUUGAUGAUCUCUUUGUGACGCAGCUUGCUCGGCCUAAUCAGUUGUUUUUGUUCUGGCAGAAGGGACUCUACCUCCCCAGCUCAUGUCCAUUAACCAUAAUUAACAGAGCAGAGGGCUGCAGAUGAGGCAGAGCGGCUCUGUAUGGAGACAGAAGUGUGGGAUGCACGAGUGGAGCUUCUCUCUCAUGAUUUGAAGUAUGAAGAAAAAUGUUAGAAAACAAUCUUUCCACCUCCUUUAAGCAGAAACGUUUAGAAAGUUUGUGAAUAAUGAGCAUCAUGCUGAUUUGAGCAAAAAAUUACAUGCUAAUUUGACCUUUUGUAUUUUUUUUGUUCCAAAGACACUGUGUUGCGACACCAGCGUUGUUAAGAGCAGCUUUUGUCGAAAUUCCAAUCAGGGAACUAUUCAAUUGUGAAAAGUAUUGUGGAGAACUUAUUUUCUCUCUUUGAUAUCAAAUUGCUCGAACACACUUGACUGAAGAAUAGCUUUGUGAAAAACCUACCUGAAAGAUUUCGAAGCUGGCCUUAACAGUCAAAUGAAAAAGAAAAAAAUUAACAACUCCAGAACUAACUAAAUAUUUGUUAGCAAUACAUAAGUGUCAGUCUGCCGUUGGGAAACAGUGCACAGUUCACAACUUACAAGCUAACCACUCAUACAAGUGUGUUAUAAACUUAUCGUCUAUUUGCCCGUGUUACUGUGAAGAUGAUACAACAUGUGAAUGAGACAUUUUAAGAGGUUUUUUUUGGAUUAAAUUCACUUAGAAGCUGUGGUAGUUCUAGCUAUGUGUGAAGAGAUCAUUAAUGAUAUUUUAAAGCUGCAGCGCAAACCUUUAGUCAGUAACGGAUAUAGACUUAUAAACAUUAAGAAAUCCCUCUCAUGGGAAUAGUAUGCAAUUUUGAUUAUCAUAGCUGGUAUAUUUGGAUGCUAAAUUAAAAGUGGGAUAUGGAAUUGGUUCAGCUUUUGCAUUAUAUCGUGCAUGUAAUCAAUGUCAGUCAAUCCUUUCAUCCCAGGAUGCUCAAUUUCCCCCUUUAAUUGGAACUUAAUGUCCAUAGGAAAUGCCAAUGAGGAUGAGGACUGUAAUUUCCCAGUGCCACACUACAUUCAUUACCACUGCUUGGUAAACAAUGGCUUCCAUUGUUUCCAUCCUCGGUCUCAGCCCACAACUUCAGAACUGAUCUUAUUCCAUUUGCAUUAUUAUAAGAAGCAAUUACCAGUGCUAUAACAGAACCCUCUCCAGGAAAAUCCUAUAUAGAUUACUAAUUAGUGCUUAAUGAAAACGUAACCAGCCAUUGAUUGGGGUGUUAAAUUACUCUUCUGAUUAUGCUUUCUGCAUAUGUAUAGACAAUCUUGUUUUUUUGAAAAUGGUGAUGAGCUCUCAGGGAGCAGGCGGGGAGAGUCCCAUGAUUUUCUUGUGUGGUUUUCUGCUCCAGUUCCAGCAGAGAUGUGUGUUAUGUAAUGUGGCCCGCUGCAUCAUGUGAACUAGUCUGUGCUGGACAGAUCUGCUGCUCUUCGCUGUGACGUGUGUACAUGUA
Long non-coding RNA from Acanthopagrus latus (yellowfin seabream), 3637 nucleotides. RefSeq lists it as uncharacterized. NCBI's taxonomy places the organism in Eukaryota, Metazoa, Chordata, Actinopteri, Spariformes, Sparidae. The record is from RefSeq and is a predicted model, not a curated record. The transcript is spliced from 3 exons.